Petromyzon marinus (sea lamprey) is the source of this 466-nucleotide long non-coding RNA. RefSeq lists it as uncharacterized. Lineage: Eukaryota; Metazoa; Chordata; Hyperoartia; Petromyzontiformes; Petromyzontidae. The record is from RefSeq and is a predicted model, not a curated record.
CGAGUCGGCGGCGUCCUCCGCUCGCUCCUUGUGGUGUGCCGCGGCCUCGUAAAGCUGCCAGGGUGGCAGGGGCGCUUCACGGACACCGUCCCCAAGUGGACCCUUAAACUCCGCUGUCAACGGGGACCUCUCCGCUCUCCUCCCUCUCCUCUCUCUCUCUCUGUCUCUCUUCUCCUUCGCCUUUCAGAGGCAAGGUUUGGCCACGUACGGUGCGAAAGAAGUUCAACACGCGAGUCCAUCGACGUGCGACGCGAGACGGUGGGGAGGGGCAGAGGAGCAGCCUCGCCUGCGGCUCCAGAGCCUCGUGCGGCUCUUUGAGUGGCUCCCGACACAACAAUAAUUGCAAAGUCUAGAAGAAGUUACUUGUGGCCGACUCACGUCUUGGAAGACGACGUGGGAGUACUCACACUUUACACCACCACCACCACCAAAGACAAAGAUCACCCGUAUAGCCUUUAACAGAAUG